This is a long non-coding RNA of Mus musculus (house mouse), 2774 nucleotides long. RefSeq annotates it as predicted gene, 46565. The record is from RefSeq and is a predicted model, not a curated record. The transcript is spliced from 4 exons. NCBI's taxonomy places the organism in Eukaryota, Metazoa, Chordata, Mammalia, Rodentia, Muridae.
CUUUACCUAGCACACUCAAAAUCCUUUGACUACAGAGCUUUUUAGGAGAGCUGCUUCUCAGAAAUGGAGCCCUCAUCCACUUAAUCAUCCACUCUGAUUUUUAUGGGCUACAAGGGUGUCCUGAGUACAUGAUGUUAGAGACACUGUCACCCCAGUCAUUCUACAGUUGGAGUGCCCUCCAGUGUGGUCCUGGGAUAUGAUGGCAUGGCUGAUACACAGGAGACCUGCCGUUGGCUACCAGGAAAUGAAGCCUUGCUCUGGACAGUCUCCCGGUGCCUUCCAGUAUCCAGAAAGGCUGGGACCAGAGUCCUGACAUCCAGUAGCACGGUGUGAUGGAGUCUAAAUGUUCAUCAUGGCUCACGUCUAAGGCCUAGUGCAGUGUGUCCCAAGCUGGAGUCAUCUGAAGGGGUGUGGAUACACAGAUUGCUGGACCCCAAUCUCUAAGGAUACUGGUUCCAUGGUCCCAAGUGGACCUGAAAAUGUGCCUAUCAGGUUCCCAGGUGCUGCUGCUGAGCUAGGAGCUUACUGUGAGACAGAUUGUCCUACACCAAUUCCCUCCCAUUCUACAGGUGGCGAGGUCACAGGGAGUCAGAGGUCAGCACCACCCAGAGAGAGGCCCAACCUUUUAAAUUAAAGUCCCAGUGGUCAGGGAUGAGCUGACAAAGAUGAACUAACCUGAAACUCCUCCCCCGUGGAGGGCCAUCUCCCCUCCUCUCCCCUGAGAGGGCAUCUGUUUUGAAUGUGGAUUUGAAUGAUUCGGUCCCAAGCCUUGUCGCCCACCCCCAACCCCCACUGUGGGCUCUAGGCACCAGUUAUCCUGAGUAAACACGGAUACAGGAGCGCCUGGCCCAGAGGGAGACAGGCAGAGAACACAGGGGAAAGCUAGAGGGGUUAAAUGCUUUACAUUUGACUGGGAGGAGAGAGCAGGCAAGACUCUGGCCCCUUGAGAGGUUUGGAGGACCAAGGGAUGAGGAGCCGUCUCAGAAGCUUUCUCGGAUCAUUUCCUGUCCUCAACAGGCAGGCUCCUUCCAGCCAUACUUCCGAAUUGAGCGUGAAGGUGGACUGUUUCUCUUCCCAAAGCUUGGGGAUCCCAUCCAGCUGCAUUGUUAACGACCUAGGAGGGCCUCUUAUAAAGGCUGUGCCUGCCCCAGACUGACUUGCUGGCUUGAGUGUGCUUGUGUACAAACACAGAGAGAGCAAGACGCUUCCUGAGGAAACACAGUGAAAUGCUUUGGAAUGAGAGACUGCUGUGUCAGUGAGGGUACGCUGUAUGGAACCUCAAGAUGGAUAGUGGAAGGGUCAGCUUAUUUACCCUAGAGCUCAGAGAGAAAAUGGACCACAGGAAACAUGCUGCAUACACCUGGACAGGACGUAACCAAGGAGACCAUGCAUGAAGAGCCGAGUGUAAGUCUGGAAGAGAUGAUCAGCGUGGGGAGGGACCCAACAGCUGUGUCACAGAGCUGAGAUGAUCGCCUGGGAUGAGUGGCUUGGCUUAGUGUGUGUGUGUGUGUGUGUGUGUGUGUGUGUGUGUGUGUGUGUGGUAGUUAGACUGUGAGGGUACAAACAGCUCCUGCUUCUGUGGCUCUGGCUUUCAGGCCCACUCAGGAACAGGAAACAAGGUCUGUCUAAGGAAGGGAGCCAGGAUAAGAACCUGCACACCUUCAGGGAAAGUGUGGGUUAGGAAACAAAAUGAAAUAAAACUACCUGUCUGAUGGCUCAGCAAGAUACUAGGAACGCAGAUAUUUCCUCUGCUGGGCCCUUGGUGAACCAGGGCUCUCACACAGGUUAAAUCUGAAUCUGUAUAGCCCAGAAGGAUGGAGACUCACAAGCUAAAGUCUUCAGAUAAAAGGGAACCCAGGCUGCUUACCAGUUUGAUUUACCCCGAGAGUAAAAGUGGUAAUCCUUUGCUGAAGGACUUCUCCAGAAUCUAGGAUGAGAGGAAUUGCACAGAGUGCACAAGCCACAGUAGAGAUGAGAACACUGCCCACCAUGUUCACGAGAUGGAGGAUGCGAUGACCAGGACCAGCGAGCCUGGAAACUGGGGUAUGGGAAGGUAAAGGAAAAAUAUGAGCUUGUCUAAAUUUAAUAAAGAAUGUGCUUCAAAACAAAAACAAAAACAAAACAAAACCAACAACUUUUAAAAAUUCCAGCACUUGGGAGGCAGAGGAAGGCAUAUUUCUGAGUUUGAGGCCAGCCUGGUCUACAGAGUGAGUUCCAGGACAGUCAGGGCUACACAGAAACCCUGUCUCAAAAAACCAACCCCUCCCUCAAAAAAUAAAAAGGAUGUGCUCAUAAAUGACACAUAUACAAAGUUGCUUACUGCAGUGUUGCUUACAAAAACAAAGCAAAGCAAACAUGAGGAGAACCUGGACACAACAACCCAUGUGCUUGUUUGGAGGACUGACUAAAAAACAAACAAACAAACAAACAAAAAAACAGAGCAAACCAACAGUGAAGAAAUAUCCCAUGUUUACUAAUAUGAACCAAGGGAUGUCUUAGUAAUUAAAAACAACGUUUAUAUACUUAGCCAUUUGAUUAAAGAAGUGUGUGCAUGUGUGUGUGUGAAAACAAUUUAUAUUUGUGUGUAUAGUAACAUUGAACAAUUUUUAGAAAACUAAUACAUGGUGCUGGGUAGGUUAUAAGCCUGGGGGAAGAGAGAGCCACUGGGCCUGGCUUGAGUGUUUCAAACCCCAAAUGUAGUCUCUCCUCCCCCAGCCUGAAACCUGCUUGCUCGGGGUGGAGCUUCCUGCUCAUUCGUUCUGCCACGCCCACUG